Molecule: ribosomal RNA, 800 nt
Filed under: uncultured bacterium
Lineage: Bacteria
Description: bacterial SSU rRNA
Rfam family: Bacterial small subunit ribosomal RNA
Source: RNAcentral
GAGUUUGAUCCUGGCUCAGAGCGAACGCUGGCGGCAGGCUUAACACAUGCAAGUCGAGCGGGCGUAGCAAUACGUCAGCGGCAGACGGGUGAGUAACGCGUGGGAACGUACCUUUUGGUUCGGAACAACACAGGGAAACUUGUGCUAAUACCGGAUAAGCCCUUACGGGGAAAGAUUUAUCGCCGAAAGAUCGGCCCGCGUCUGAUUAGCUAGUUGGUGAGGUAACGGCUCACCAAGGCGACGAUCAGUAGCUGGUCUGAGAGGAUGAUCAGCCACAUUGGGACUGAGACACGGCCCAAACUCCUACGGGAGGCAGCAGUGGGGAAUAUUGGACAAUGGGGGCAACCCUGAUCCAGCCAUGCCGCGUGAGUGAUGAAGGCCCUAGGGUUGUAAAGCUCUUUUGUGCGGGAAGAUAAUGACGGUACCGCAAGAAUAAGCCCCGGCUAACUUCGUGCCAGCAGCCGCGGUAAUACGAAGGGGGCUAGCGUUGCUCGGAAUCACUGGGCGUAAAGGGUGCGUAGGCGGGUUUUUAAGUCAGGGGUGAAAUCCUGGAGCUCAACUCCAGAACUGCCUUUGAUACUGAAGAUCUUGAGUCCGGGAGAGGUGAGUGGAACUGCGAGUGUAGAGGUGAAAUUCGUAGAUAUUCGCAAGAACACCAGUGGCGAAGGCGGCUCACUGGCCCGGUACUGACGCUGAGGCACGAAAGCGUGGGGAGCAAACAGGAUUAGAUACCCUGGUAGUCCACGCCCUAAACUAUGGAUACUCGACAUUUGCGAUAAACUGCAAGUGUCUGAGCGAAA